Molecule: unclassified non-coding RNA, 368 nt
Filed under: Hevea brasiliensis (rubber tree)
Lineage: Eukaryota; Viridiplantae; Streptophyta; Magnoliopsida; Malpighiales; Euphorbiaceae
Source: RNAcentral
GAAAGUUUAGGGAUAUGGCAUCAUCCUCUCCUUCGAAUCAAUUGACGCUGUAAGAGAAAAUUCAUGCACGAGAAAAUAUAUGGUUGAAAAUCUGCCUAUUACGAUGUGUUAUUGCUGAAUUCAAGCAAAAAUGUGGACGUCAUGGAAGGAAUUGAAUCCAGACAAUUGGUUUUUUGGAUGCGUAUAGAGUAAGAGAUUUUUCUUGCUAUUUGUUUGAAUAUUGGAAGAUAAAUGGGCUGUUGUAAAGUUUAGAUAUAUUUUUUUUACUUCAGAAUGCUGAGAAGAGAUGCGAAUUUUCUAAAUAGGUUGAUUGUGAAUCACCAAAAUGGAUGGGAAUUGAUAAUUGAACUAGGAUAAGAUGAUGCAGG